GGAAGUUUGUCUCUGAGAUAGAGCUGAAGCUUUGCUCUGCAGAGUGUCUGGAGCCUAAGUGUAUGCAGAGUGCCCCCCCUCUUGGCUCCUUGAUAAAUAGGGAAAAGGUCCAGUUUGCUCCAGCUGGAAAGUUGAAGUUGUUAAAUCCAUUUAUACUUGUUCUGCGAGGAAAAGGACAAUCUCUAGUCAUAUUGUUUAACUAUGAGAAAUUUAAGAAGAUUAUACAGUGA
RNAcentral lists this long non-coding RNA (230 nucleotides) under Mustela putorius furo (domestic ferret). RNAcentral's name for it is "lncRNA (ENSMPUG00000030810.1)". Lineage: Eukaryota; Metazoa; Chordata; Mammalia; Carnivora; Mustelidae. The record is from RNAcentral.